GCUCGUUGAGGUCGGAUCCAUGUUCGAAACUAGAUUCGUGGUCGAGGUUGGAGUCGCAUUUCAGGACAGAUGGAAAGCAUCGGGGCGACAGGGAGACAAUACAAAAAAGAAAGCUUACACGAAAAAGAAAGCUGGAGAUUUACAGUAACCCAGCUGAAAAGAAAGACCCAGCUGGUGUAAGAAUAUCUUGACAGUCUCUUAAUCUUCAUUUUCCUACCCUCGUUGUUUAUUUUAACAUUUAUUAAAUAUUAUUACUACUAACUUUUUCUUUGAGAUCUGACGAGGUGAAACUUCAGAUCGAAGUGCUUGCCUAAAUAGCAGGAGUGGAAAGAGCUCGAGCUGCCAAAGACGCACCGACCUGAGGAGGAAGUUGCUGGUCUGGUCAAGACCCGACAAAUGAGGCCGGAGCGACGUGGAAAUGGACCAGAUAGACAGACAUGAUGGUGCUAAAGGCGCGCCGACCUGAUGAAGAAGUCGCUGGUCUGGUCAAGCUCCAACAAGUGAGGUCGUCGCGACACCGAACUGGACCAGAUAUGAAGGCAUGAUGGAGCUGACACCACGUAUGCAAAGGAAGAAACCACAACCUUCAAGAAUUAAAGCAGACACCACCACCAGAUGAUCAACUUUUGAGUGGGAAGGCUCCAGCAGAUCAAACUCAACAGGUCGGAAGAAGAAGUCGGUCUCGCAUUUUGAGUCGGAUGGCCAGACUGUCCUCAAGAUAAGUGGAGGUCGGACCCGAGCUCGGAGUUAUCUUUGAGUCCAAGCUCAAGAGCAGGACUGAAAGGAACUCAAGAAAUCCAGCAAUUACAGUAUUAUUAUAAGUCGAGGUCGGACCCGAGCUCGGAGUUAGAUUUGUGUUCGAGGUCGGAGCAUGCUUGAGCUCGGAUUCGCGAUUCAGAUCGGAGGGAAUGAUGUUGUUGAUGUUGGCCAGCUUGAAGACAUGCAAUUUUCAAACUUGAAUUUAGCGGAGUACGAUGGCCUGACUGAGUAGGUCGGCCAAGUCGACAACGUGGAAUUCCUCAAAUCCAAGAUCAAUUUGUUCAUGGGUUGGAGUCCGUUGCUCCCAAGGGCGUAUUGUUUCAUUGGAAUUGACAGAAUCGAAUCUGUGUGGCUCUGUUUCACCUCAGAUUUCCAGGCUUGUAUGGUGACGUCACUCCCUUGCGUUUUUAUGGCUUGUCUUUGUCAGGGAAUGCCUUCUCUUGAUGAUCACCAGCUCCUAUCGAUCCAUCAAUCGAACUGGGUGGCCACUUCUUUGGGAGUCCGUGGUGUUUGUCUGUUGGGUCAAAUGGGGCGUAUCUCUCUGCAGGAGGAGGCUUGUUAAUUGGUGGCUUGUAUUGGGUAAGAGAGUGAGUAGUGAGUAACACCACUGCAAGAAACAACACCAGCAAGUAUUUAGGAGGCAGUUUAAUGCUCUCGGGAACUAAACAGAGAAAGGAAAAGGAGAUGAGGAAGGUGAACGCGUGAAUGGGCUAGAGCCUAUAACAGCAGGACAAGUGUCCUCUCUAUUGGCUUUUUUGUAUGACAAUAAUACAUAUACAUUUAUAUCAAUGCAAGAAGAAUCGCACCUGCUGAAAAAGAUAUGCUAGUUGAUGAAGAUGGUGAGUUUAAGGCAGAAGUGAAUUCGAGUAGCUAUGGAAAGCGCCCAAGGAGAUCUGAUCGGCGUAAGCAACAGGUCUCUUAUAAGGAAAAUUUGAGUGACGAUGAAGGCUUCAUGACCCAUUCAAAGAAAACCAAGGGGACGGGAUCAUCCUGUGCCAAUGAAGAAAAGUGCAGAAAUGGAUUGAAGAACAAUUUAUUUAAAAAAGAUAAUCAUUCUGGUGUAGCUUAUGUGAAAGAUCUGAAUGAGGAGAACCAGAAGAAAGGUCCAGAGAGUUUUGCAAAUGAAUUAAAGGACAGCAAGGAUGAAAAGAGAAAAGAAAAAGCAGAAGAAAAUGGGUAUUCGGGCUUAGUUCGGCACUGGUGGGCCUUCGUUUGUUGCCAUCAGAGCUGACAUGGAUGCUUUUCCCAUUCAGGUUCCUAUCUCCUCUUCUCGUAGUUCUAUGUAGGCAUGUGUCUACAUAUGCAUUCAUCUCAUGCCAUGUCAUGUGCAUGAUAAUAUAACAUAUCGACAUGCAUG
Long non-coding RNA from Manihot esculenta (cassava), 2116 nucleotides. RefSeq lists it as uncharacterized. The record is from RefSeq and is a predicted model, not a curated record. Lineage: Eukaryota; Viridiplantae; Streptophyta; Magnoliopsida; Malpighiales; Euphorbiaceae. The transcript has 2 exons.